GAUGAACGCUGGCGGCGUGCCUAACACAUGCAAGUCGAGCGGAGACAGACAGAAAGCUUGCUUUUAGUCUGUACUUAGCGGCGGAUGGGUGAGGAACGCGUGGGUAACCUGUCCUUCACAGGGGGAUAACAGUUGGAAACGACUGUUAAUACCGCAUAUGCUCACAGCACCGCAUGGUGCAGGGAGGAAAGCCGAGACGGUGAAGGAUGGACCCGCGUCGGAUUAGCCAGUUGGCGGGGUAACGGCCCACCAAAGCGAUGAUCCGUAGCCGGCCUGAGAGGGCGACCGGCCACAUUGGGACUGAGACACGGCCCAAACUCC
Molecule: ribosomal RNA, 321 nt
Filed under: uncultured Butyrivibrio sp.
Lineage: Bacteria; Bacillati; Bacillota; Clostridia; Lachnospirales; Lachnospiraceae
Description: bacterial SSU rRNA
Rfam family: Bacterial small subunit ribosomal RNA
Source: RNAcentral